GUGCUCCAUUUGGCAGCACAUAUACUGAAAUUGGAACGAUACAGAGAUUAGCAUGGCCCCAGGGCACAUUUGUGAAGCGUUCUAUUUAAAA
This is a non-coding RNA of Canis lupus familiaris (dog), 91 nucleotides long. NCBI's taxonomy places the organism in Eukaryota, Metazoa, Chordata, Mammalia, Carnivora, Canidae. The record is from Rfam.